AAUGUUCAGACUAAGCCAUGCACGUCUAAGUACAAACUAAAUGAUGGUGAAACUGCAAAUGGCUCAUUACAACGGUUAUGAUGUACCCGGGAGUUCCGAUGGAUAUUUCCAGUAACACUAGGACUAAUACAUGUCCCUGCGUUUAUUAGUUUCGCACAGUCCGUCGCUGAGUCAUGGUAAACAGUUGAUCGACUCGACGUCCCGGAACAGUUUCCGCCCCAUCAGCUUCGAUGGUUGGGUAUUGGCCUACCAUUGCAACAACGGGUAACGAGGAAUUAGGGUUUGAUUUCGGAGAGGGAGCCUGAGAAACGGCUACCACAUCUACGGAUGGCAGCAGGCGCGCAAAUUACCCAAUGCAGACACUGUGAGGUAGUGACGAGAAAUAAUAAAGCGGGACUUCUGUUUCGCUAUUAUAAUGAGGAAUAACCAAAGGUCAUUCCGAUUAGCAACUGAUGGGAAAGUCUGGUGCCAGCAGCCGCGGUAAUACCAGCGUCAGUAGC
This 500-nucleotide ribosomal RNA is filed under the name uncultured Myrionecta. RNAcentral describes it as "SSU rRNA". It matches the Rfam family "Eukaryotic small subunit ribosomal RNA", at positions 33 to 598 of the family's 1831-position model. The record is from RNAcentral. Lineage: Eukaryota; Ciliophora; Litostomatea; Cyclotrichida; Mesodiniidae.